RNAcentral lists this ribosomal RNA (268 nucleotides) under uncultured bacterium. RNAcentral's name for it is "partial 16S ribosomal RNA". It matches the Rfam family "Bacterial small subunit ribosomal RNA", at positions 85 to 354 of the family's 1533-position model. The record is from RNAcentral.
CCGAUGGCGACCGGCGCACGGGUGAGCAACACGUAUCCAACCUGCCGAUAACUCGGGGAUAGCCUUUCGAAAGAAAGAUUAAUAUCCGAUAGGAUAUCAAGGUCGCAUGAUCUUGAUAUUAAAGAAUUUCGGUUAUCGAUGGGGAUGCGUUCCAUUAGUUAGUUGGCGGGGUAACGGCCCACCAAGACGACGAUGGAUAGGGGUUCUGAGAGGAAGGUCCCCCACAUUGGAACUGAGACACGGUCCAAACUCCUACGGAAGGCAGCAG